This 1007-nucleotide long non-coding RNA is filed under the name Homo sapiens (human). RNAcentral's name for it is "HSALNT0324266". Lineage: Eukaryota; Metazoa; Chordata; Mammalia; Primates; Hominidae. The record is from RNAcentral.
GCCUAGCAUAGAGAGGAUGCUUAUUAAAUAUUGGGUAAAAGAAUAAAAUGAUAAAUAAGGGCCACUAUAAAAUGAAUGUUACACAAAAACGUGUUUUCCCCAACAACUCACCCAGAUGAAGACUUACAGAGCAGCCCAGCUACUCCUCCCCAUAUAGAAUUCCUCAUCUGUUUCAGGCAACGCAGAUGUGAAGAGAAUAAAUAUGAAAGUCUCCCUCCUGGCCCUGGCUUGCAGCCCUCUGCUCCCUUUAGAGGUGAAACACCCUCAUGCACACUGGAGCAUCAGCACGGUGAGGGCAGGGCGUCCACGUGUCUUUGUGCCCUGCUUGACCCCGUGCUGGGACCUUCUACGAGAGCCACGGUGACACGUACAGCAGAUUUCCGGGACACGGCAGUUGUGAAAAUAAAAGAACGAAAGAAUGAACAAAAGGAAAGUGAACACUUCCCCAUUUUAUAGAUUGGAGAGUUGAGGUUUGGCGAGUGAUGUGAAUUAUCCAUGAUUACGUAGCUGAGGUUUGGCCAAGUGCAGACUCCAGAUGGUUCUGUCUAGUUCUGCCUCCCAGGGCUUUCCCCUGUGCAGGCUGCCUCGACCCUGCCUGACUGCCGCCUGUGUCUGAAUCUCUCAGAGCCGUCUGUCUUAAACAGGAAGAGACGGCCUUUAUAUACUGUUUUCAAGGCAACCCACUCCCAUUUAAUGUUAGUCUAGAUGGUUGCAGGUGUAUUUUGUUAUGCUGGCUUCUGGUUUACUCUGCAUAGUCGGGGAGCAUGAGAGGGGUGAUAUGGUUAGCAAAUGCCUUUGAAUUGUUACAUAACUACAUUGAUUCCUUGAAAAAAGCCAUCUUAUUAAAACAAAACAAGGAAUAUUAUGCCUUGUUGAAGCUGACCUAUCAAAAUGUAAAAGAAAUAAAGUAAUGAAUGGUGUCUUGGAAAAAACAGUGUUUUGUUAUUGUGUCAGUUAUACCUAAAGACAAAGAAUGUCUUGAAAGCAUAUUUUUAAAUCAAGAAAUG